GCUAUUGGAAACCGAGGGGGGAAUUUGUCGAGGCGUACGGAGGGGAUGUGACUGGUGCACACUCGUCAUCCUGUUUUGUCGAACCAGGCUCCGGCCACCCUGGGGUUACAACCUGGCACAAGACAAGUCAAGUCACUCUUCUGCCUGCAGGUUUCCCCCGGUUUUUGUUUCGCUAGAGGCGGUUCUUUGCCCCCUGACCUCCUGCAGCGCUCGGCGGUUGGUGGUGGGCUGAGCCCUCCAGACACUGUGGGAGAGAACUCGGGGAGCACUAACACACCGAACUUGUUUGAAUUUGCCCAUUGCUAUUCCAAACAGGCUUUCUCUGCUGAGACUCGUCCCUUGCUGCUGCACGUGUUGAUUCUGCAGGGAUCCAACGAUGGGACCGAGCUCCUCCGGUGCCAGUGCUGCAGGUGGAGAGUGCCGGGGAAGCAGAGGAGCUUCCUGAGAGCGGGAUGUUUCAAAGGAGAGAGGAGGCACAGCCGACGUGACCCGCUCCCAGCCUGGGCCAGUUGAACACAGGGGAACUGACAGACGAAGACCGGCAGCCCCGCGGCGGGUUGGUGUCGGUGUGGCACACCAGGCAUCCCCAGUGUAAGAACACUCUUGGAGGUUGUUAUAUUAUCUACAUAACGAAGCUCAUCUGCACGCCAGAAAAUAUGAAAGCGAGAGCAUAACUACUCCGCCAACAAUGGAACACCACUCAUUCCUCUGGCAGUGUCAUAAACAGCUGUAUUUUCAACUGACUUCUUACAUAAAAGCCAGGAGCUGCAGCAAGUCAACGGCUGCAAAGAUUAUUGUGUACACUAUAUAUGUGUGUGUAUUUUUUAUAUAUAUAUAUAUAUAUGUAUACGUACAAUAAUUCCCCGUAUGGAGAAGGCAUGAUAAAGGACAAGAAUCAACCACUCCAUAUGCCUCCAAGUCCCAUUGCUCUCAGCCAGUAGUACAUUUUCAUUGUGUUUUAUAGGCAGGAUUUACAGAUGAAGUUACUGACCUCGUGCAAGUCCAAGGUUCACAAACAAGUAUCUGCCACUCCUGGGAAGGAAGCGCAGCUCCCUUUCAGGGGUUAUUAAAUCCUAUAGCACUGCUCUGUUUGUGUGACACCCUGCAGCUGUUCGGUUAACCACA
Long non-coding RNA from Grus americana (Whooping crane), 1125 nucleotides. RefSeq lists it as uncharacterized. NCBI's taxonomy places the organism in Eukaryota, Metazoa, Chordata, Aves, Gruiformes, Gruidae. The record is from RefSeq and is a predicted model, not a curated record. The transcript has 4 exons.